GGACGGAGCCUGCGCGUCCGUGGGAUGGUGCUGGGCACGGGGGGAAGAAGCGGAAAGCCUCCGCAGAAGCUGAUGCCAGCUUCCCUCUGAAGCGCAGCCAUGCGGAAAGGCAGGGCAGGAGCACAGAAUGGGACGUGGCACCCAAGAGAGAGGUGGGUGCUGAGCCAAACGGCCAUCUCCACGUGAAGGUGGUGCAGCAGGGGCGUUCCGAGAGAGCUUGUCUCCCUGAGAGAGCUCCAGCUCCUCUCCAGGCUGGAGGGCUUCCUGGCAG
Molecule: long non-coding RNA, 271 nt
Organism: Lagopus leucura (white-tailed ptarmigan)
Lineage: Eukaryota; Metazoa; Chordata; Aves; Galliformes; Phasianidae
Exons: 3
Source: RefSeq, a predicted model, not a curated record